This is a long non-coding RNA of Eurytemora carolleeae, 732 nucleotides long. RefSeq lists it as uncharacterized. The transcript is spliced from 2 exons. The record is from RefSeq and is a predicted model, not a curated record. NCBI's taxonomy places the organism in Eukaryota, Metazoa, Arthropoda, Copepoda, Calanoida, Temoridae.
UUUACAGUUUACAGAAUGAUAAAUUUUUUGAAAACUUUGAAUGCUAAUAUCUCAAUUUUUUAAGAGAAAAUUAUACUAAGCAACUUAUUUAAAACCCACGGGUGCAAAUUUUUAGCAGAAACGUGGAUAUGCACAUGACCCCUUGCAAUCCCUCCCCCCUGCAGUUACGGAUCUGCUGCUUUGAACUUAAAGGGUGUAUGUUAUGUUGCAUUAUUUUAAUUGUUCAUAAUAUUUUCAAAAAUGAACCAAUUAGAGGAAAGAUUGAAUUUAUUUUUUGGGAAAGUAAGUUUAAGAUUAAAAGGACUCAUCAUUAUUUCAAUUUAAAACUUAAAUAUAAAUAUUUUUAUAGAUAUCUUUUGCACGACUUUGCUGGAUUUUUGAAAAUCGCAAUUUAGAAACUUGAAAACGUAAAAUUGCCAAAGACUGAUUGGGCAUGGAAGACCGCAUGGUUGUGGGUUAUGGCUUAUGGCAUGGCUAAAAUUGUUGCAGCAUAUGGCCGCCUGCCUUCUCCCGUUCCUUGCACACUGCACUACACAGAUCUACGGAUUGAUUUAUCCUCUAGUUUAAAAGUGUUCACAUUGGAUAUCGAUAUCAAGCGUCACCACACUAAUGUUACAACCUCAGCUCUGUUAACUGACUGGUAUCAGUAUUCAAGAUUAUUGGAUUAUUGGAUUGUUCUUGAGAUGCUAAACCUGAUUGAAAAUAGUGUGCUCAAUAAAUCUUCUUACUUUA